GACGAACGCUGGCGGCGUGCUUAACACAUGCAAGUCGAACGGAAAGGCACUGCUUUUGUGGGGUGCUCGAGUGGCGAACGGGUGAGUAACACGUGAGUAACCUGCCCUUGACUUUGGGAUAACUUCAGGAAACUGGGGCUAAUACCGGAUAGGAGCUCCUGCUGCAUGGUGGGGGUUGGAAAGUCUCGGCGGUUGGGGAUGGACUGGCGGCUUAUCAGCUUGUUGGUGGGGUAGUGGCUUACCAAGGCUUUGACGGGUAGCCGGCCUGAGAGGGUGACCGGCCACAUUGGGACUGAGAUACGGCCCAGACUCCUACGGGAGGCAGCAGUGGGGAAUAUUGCACAAUGGGCGGAAGCCUGAUGCAGCAACGCCGCGUGCGGGAUGACGGCCUUCGGGUUGUAAACCGCUUUCGCCUGUGACGAAGCGUGAGUGACGGUAAUGGGUAAAGAAGCACCGGCUAACUACGUG
RNAcentral lists this ribosomal RNA (468 nucleotides) under uncultured bacterium. RNAcentral describes it as "partial 16S ribosomal RNA". It matches the Rfam family "Bacterial small subunit ribosomal RNA", at positions 28 to 507 of the family's 1533-position model. The record is from RNAcentral.